RNAcentral lists this transfer RNA (91 nucleotides) under Peptostreptococcaceae bacterium oral taxon 113 str. W5053. Its description in RNAcentral is "tRNA-Ser". It matches the Rfam family "tRNA". From Rfam's summary of the family: Transfer RNA (tRNA) molecules are approximately 80 nucleotides in length. Their secondary structure includes four short double-helical elements and three loops (D, anti-codon, and T loops). Lineage: Bacteria; Bacillati; Bacillota; Clostridia; Peptostreptococcales; Peptostreptococcaceae. RNAcentral also lists the same sequence under 2 other names. The record is from RNAcentral.
GGAGAGCUGGCCGAGUGGUCGAAGGCGCACGACUGGAAAUCGUGUAAACGUCAAAAGCGUUUCGAGGGUUCAAAUCCCUCGCUCUCCGCCA